This 887-nucleotide non-coding RNA is filed under the name Pan troglodytes (chimpanzee). Lineage: Eukaryota; Metazoa; Chordata; Mammalia; Primates; Hominidae. The record is from RNAcentral.
GAACACAAAAUGGCGACACGUGGUUAGCAUUCGUCGCCAACGAGAAAUUGGGGUCGGCCCGAAAGCUCUAGAAUGCACCCCCCUUCUUCCCCGGGGCCUUCCACCUCCGCGAGUUUUAUGACUUAAAAAACCCCACAGGCUGGUCUGAAGAGGAAGACAAACAUAAAGAUGAAGUGCUUAAUUCAAGGUCACACAAUGUCGGGGAUGGACCUCCAGAUUUCCUUACUGACCUGCAUUAUCUUGUGGAUACCUGAGUGAAUUCCACACCACCCAUUUUAUAGAUGAAACCACUGAGACAUGGAGCAACUGACUGAGUAGUCACUGCCCCACCCCUGCCUGGAGCCUCACACAUGACUCGUCUCCUCUCAGUGACCACAGGAAAACAAGCUCAGGGCUCCCACUGAUUGUACAUUAUGGUGAGACGUGGUCUUGUAACACAGUGGUUAAGAAUGUGACUUUGGAGCCAGCCUGCUAGGGGCUGAAUUCUGACUCAGCCAUUUACUAACUGUGUGACCUUAGGUGGAGUCUCACUCUGUAGCCCAAGCUGGAGUGGUGUGAUCUCGACUCACUGCAACCUCCGCCUCCUGGGCUCAAGUGAUUCUCGUGCCUCAGCCUCCUGAGUAGCUGGGACUACAGUUGUCCCUUGGUGUGGGAUUGCUUCCAGUACCUCUGUGUGUAACAAAAGCUGCACCAUUCAAGUCCCACAGUUGCCCUGCGAAACCUCUGUAUAUGAAAAGUUGGCCGUCCAUGUACAUGGGUUUCCCAUCCUGUCACAGAAUUUUCCACACUCCUUGACGGAGGUGCUUAACCCUUAUCCAUCAGCAUUCUCAGACAGCACCUCCGGUUAGGGACAGUAUCUGACCGUCCGACAUCCCUGCAGCCCCCAU